UGAGUAAUGUCUGGGAAACUGCCUGAUGGAGGGGGAUAACUACUGGAAACGGUAGCUAAUACCGCAUAACGUCGCAAGACCAAAGAGGGGGACCUUCGGGCCUCUUGCCAUCAGAUGUGCCCAGAUGGGAUUAGCUAGUAGGUGGGGUAAUGGCUCACCUAGGCGACGAUCCCUAGCUGGUCUGAGAGGAUGACCAGCCACACUGGAACUGAGACACGGUCCAGACUCCUACGGGAGGCAGCAGUGGGGAAUAUUGCACAAUGGGCGCAAGCCUGAUGCAGCCAUGCCGCGUGUGUGAAGAAGGCCUUCGGGUUGUAAAGCACUUUCAGCGAGGAGGAAGGUGGUGAGCUUAAUACGCUCAUCAAUUGACGUUACUCGCAGAAGAAGCACCGGCUAACUCCGUGCCAGC
Molecule: ribosomal RNA, 409 nt
Filed under: Serratia marcescens
Lineage: Bacteria; Pseudomonadati; Pseudomonadota; Gammaproteobacteria; Enterobacterales; Yersiniaceae
Description: bacterial SSU rRNA
Rfam family: Bacterial small subunit ribosomal RNA
Source: RNAcentral